This 253-nucleotide ribosomal RNA is filed under the name uncultured bacterium. Its description in RNAcentral is "partial 16S ribosomal RNA". It matches the Rfam family "Bacterial small subunit ribosomal RNA", at positions 524 to 776 of the family's 1533-position model. The record is from RNAcentral.
UACGUAGGGUGCAAGCGUUAAUCGGAAUUACUGGGCGUAAAGCGUGCGCAGGCGGUUGUGCAAGACAGAUGUGAAAUCCCCGGGCUUAACCUGGGAACUGCAUUUGUGACUGCAUAGCUGGAGCGCGGCAGAGGGGGAUGGAAUUCCGCGUGUAGCAGUGAAAUGCGUAGAUAUGCGGAGGAACACCGAUGGCGAAGGCAAUCCCCUGGGCCUGCACUGACGCUCAUGCACGAAAGCGUGGGGAGCAAACAGG